This 253-nucleotide ribosomal RNA is filed under the name uncultured bacterium. RNAcentral describes it as "partial 16S ribosomal RNA". It matches the Rfam family "Bacterial small subunit ribosomal RNA", at positions 524 to 776 of the family's 1533-position model. The record is from RNAcentral.
UACGGAGGGUGCGAGCGUUGUUCGGAAUCACUGGGCGUAAAGAGCGUGUAGGCGGCCAGGUAGGUCUGCUGUGAAAACUCGAGGCUCAACCUCGAGACGUCGGCGGAAACCAUCUGGCUAGAGUCCGGAAGAGGAGAGUGGAAUUCCUGGUGUAGCGGUGAAACGCGCAGAUAUCAGGAAGAACACCCGUGGCGAAGGCGGCUCUCUGGGACGGUACUGACGCUGAGACGCGAAAGCGUGGGGAGCGAACAGG